Long non-coding RNA from Chenopodium quinoa (quinoa), 779 nucleotides. RefSeq lists it as uncharacterized. The transcript has 3 exons. The record is from RefSeq and is a predicted model, not a curated record. Lineage: Eukaryota; Viridiplantae; Streptophyta; Magnoliopsida; Caryophyllales; Amaranthaceae.
AAUCUCUCACUAAUAAGUAAAAACACUAAAUUCCUCCCUCUCUCUAUGUUCAACCGCCACCUCACCCUUCAUAGGCUCAUAGCCACCGGCCACCGUUCACGGCGUUCAAGCCCUCACACUCUCACGACUCAGAUCUCCUUAUACGCCCAGCCAACCUUAAUUUUAUUUUUCAUUUUCGAUCUUCUACUCGCAUUAGCUCGGCAAAUCGCCAUUCUUUUCGACCUUAAUCUCAGAAGGAAGAUGCUGCACAGCAGCACCAGUUUAUUCUACAUGCAUCUCUAGACAUAGUCCAGGACCUUGCAUGGACUUCCAGUGCUAUAUUCUUCUAAACCCCCUUUAUCUUCCUGGCUCGCGCAUUGCAUCAUCACAUUUUGAUACAAAAGUCCGAGCCCUAGCCAGAAAAUAUCUGUGAAGCGGAAGUUGAAUGCAAAAUGAGCAGAUGCUGCUAUUGGAUGAGACAAACAGUUUUCUUCUCAAGCUUUCUUUGGCUGACAUUUCAGUUUGAAGUCAGGUUAUAAAACAUUCUAGUUUAUACCAGGUCCUGUUAUGGUGUAAUGAUGUAUUGCCCUUUUUUUUUUUCUUAAAAUGUUAAAAAGUAAAACUGUUUAGCCAUCCUUGUAAUUUUGGCAUCUUUGAUAUAAUUGUCUUUUGCAACACAAAAUAAGGUUGUCUUAGGUUUGUAGAAUGACUUCCAUUGUUGAUCUAAGGUUUUGACCGAAACAUACAUGUUAAUUUUCAAAAGAAGAAAGAUUGGUGAGCAUUCCUUUCUCAUUCCUCCA